This 238-nucleotide long non-coding RNA is filed under the name Lathyrus oleraceus (garden pea). Its description in RNAcentral is "Pisum sativum (pea) long non-coding RNA (PSAT_LNC007911)". Lineage: Eukaryota; Viridiplantae; Streptophyta; Magnoliopsida; Fabales; Fabaceae. The record is from RNAcentral.
UUUUUUAGAAAGUUUAAUUCUCAAGGUACUUGCGACUAAGAGGGAUCUAACUUCGAUGAAUGUUAUAAGAAUCUUGUUUCCAACUUCAGUUAAUCAGCUUUGUUGGUUUCACAUAAAUAAAAGUAUUUAUGUUAAAUGCAAUCAACAUGUAUUAAAGGUCAGACAAGAAGCAACAUGCAUUGAAGGACAUGCAGAAUGAAAUGUUAAGUUUAUGGAGAAGAAUUAUUUAUCCUACAAC